RNAcentral lists this transfer RNA (72 nucleotides) under Camelus bactrianus (Bactrian camel). It matches the Rfam family "tRNA". From Rfam's summary of the family: Transfer RNA (tRNA) molecules are approximately 80 nucleotides in length. Their secondary structure includes four short double-helical elements and three loops (D, anti-codon, and T loops). The record is from Rfam by way of RNAcentral. RNAcentral also lists the same sequence under 2 other names. Lineage: Eukaryota; Metazoa; Chordata; Mammalia; Artiodactyla; Camelidae.
GAGGGUAUAGCUCAGUGAUAGAGCGCGUGCUUAGCGUGCACAAGGUCCUGGGUUCAAUCCCCAGUACCUCUG